This 497-nucleotide ribosomal RNA is filed under the name uncultured bacterium. RNAcentral describes it as "bacterial SSU rRNA". It matches the Rfam family "Bacterial small subunit ribosomal RNA", at positions 24 to 518 of the family's 1533-position model. The record is from RNAcentral.
UCAGGACGAACGCUGGCGGCGUGCUUAACACAUGCAAGUCGAACGAGAAUUCGUGGAUAGAGGUUUCGGCCAAUUGAAGCGGAGGAAAGUGGCGGACGGGUGAGUAACGCGUGAGGAACCUGCCUUUCAGAGGGGGACAACAGUUGGAAACGACUGCUAAUACCGCAUAACGCAUCGGAGUCGCAUGGCUCUGAUGCCAAAGAUUUUAUCGCUGAAAGAUGGCCUCGCGUCUGAUUAGCUAGUUGGUGAGGUAACGGCCCACCAAGGCGACGAUCAGUAGCCGGACUGAGAGGUUGAACGGCCACAUUGGGACUGAGAUACGGCCCAGACUCCUACGGGAGGCAGCAGUGGGGAAUAUUGGGCAAUGGGCGCCAAGCCUGACCCAGCAACGCCGCGUGAAGGAAGAAGGCUUUCGGGUUGUAAACUUCUUUUGUUGGGGACGAGUAGAAGACGGUACCUGACGAAUAAGCCACGGCUAACUACGUGCCAGCCGCGGC